RNAcentral lists this ribosomal RNA (429 nucleotides) under Actinomycetes bacterium. RNAcentral's name for it is "Actinobacteria bacterium partial 16S ribosomal RNA". It matches the Rfam family "Bacterial small subunit ribosomal RNA", at positions 355 to 776 of the family's 1533-position model. The record is from RNAcentral. Lineage: Bacteria; Bacillati; Actinomycetota; Actinomycetes.
UAGGGAAUCUUCCGCAAUGGGCGAAAGCCUGACGGAGCAACGCCGCGUGAGUGAUGAAGGUCUUCGGAUCGUAAAACUCUGUUAUUAGGGAAGAACAAAUGUGUAAGUAACUAUGCACGUCUUGACGGUACCUAAUCAGAAAGCCACGGCUAACUACGUGCCAGCAGCCGCGGUAAUACGUAGGUGGCAAGCGUUAUCCGGAAUUAUUGGGCGUAAAGCGCGCGUAGGCGGUUUUUUAAGUCUGAUGUGAAAGCCCACGGCUCAACCGUGGAGGGUCAUUGGAAACUGGAAAACUUGAGUGCAGAAGAGGAAAGUGGAAUUCCAUGUGUAGCGGUGAAAUGCGCAGAGAUAUGGAGGAACACCAGUGUCGAAGGCGACUUUCUGGUCUGUAACUGACGCUGAUGUGCGAAAGCGUGGGGAUCAAACAGG